RNAcentral lists this long non-coding RNA (2773 nucleotides) under Marmota monax (woodchuck). The stretch from base 731 to 801 matches the Rfam family "Selenocysteine insertion sequence 1". Lineage: Eukaryota; Metazoa; Chordata; Mammalia; Rodentia; Sciuridae. The record is from RNAcentral.
UAAUUGCGGGGAGCCGCCAGCGGCAAGGCUCUGGGCGGCCGCAGUCUCAGUCUGAAGGCGGCCGCAGCGGCAGUCUCGAGUAAGAUGAGGCUUCUGCUGCUUCUCCUGGUGGCGGCGUCGGCGGUGGCCCGGAGCGAGGCCUCGGCCAACCUGGGCGGCGUGCCCAGCAAGAGGUUAAAGAUGCAGUACGCUACGGGGCCGCUGCUCAAGUUCCAGAUUUGUGUUUCCUGAGGUUACAGGCGGGUGUUUGAGGAGUACAUGCGGGUUAUUAGUCAGCGGUACCCAGACAUCCGAAUCGAAGGAGAGAAUUACCUCCCUCAACCAAUUUAUAGACACAUAGCCUCUUUCCUGUCAAUCUUCAAACUCGUAUUAAUAGGCUUGAUCAUUGUUGGCAAGGACCCUUUUGCUUUCUUUGGCAUGCAAGCUCCUAGCAUAUGGCAGUGGGGCCAGGAGAAUAAGGUCUAUGCAUGUAUGAUGGUUUUCUUCUUAAGCAACAUGAUUGAGAACCAGUGUAUGUCAACAGGUGCAUUUGAGAUAACUUUAAAUGACGUGCCUGUAUGGUCUAAGCUGGAAUCUGGUCAUCUUCCAUCCAUGCAACAACUUGUUCAAAUUCUUGACAAUGAAAUGAAACUCAAUGUGCACAUGGAUUCAAUUCCGCAUCAUCGAUCAUAGCCCCACCUAUCAGCACUGAAAACUCUUUUACAUUAAGGGAUCUUUGCAAGAGCAGCGUGACUGACACUAUGAAGGCCUGUACUGAAGACAGCCAGCUGUUAGUACAGACCAGAUGCUUUUUUGGCAGGCUCGUUGUACCUCUUGGAAAACCUCAAUGCAAAAUAGUUUUUCUGUGCUGGCACGUUCUGGAAUUCUGCACAUUCGUGGAGUGCAAUAAUACUGUAUAGCUUUCCCCCAACCCAGAUUCACCCAGUUAAUAGUUUGUCAUUUUUUUAAAUGUAGACAUUACUACUUAAAACUUUUUUCUUAGUCAUAUUUAAAAAGUAGACAGUUGAGUUAUAAUUUGAUUCUUUUCAAAGUGUCUGUUAAAUCUUGUGUUUUUAUAUGAUUUUUUUUUUUUUUAGUUUAAAGUCAAUCUUUGGGGGAAUACAGCUAAAAGUUCCCAAAAGAGUUUAUCAGUCAUCUCUAAUUUGGUCAUGUCCAAUUUAUAUCGUUAUCAAAAAACUGCAGAUUGUGAACAGUGCAUUAUACAAGAUUAUGGGGGAAUCUAAUAUCCAGAGUACUCUACCAAUUUGUUUGUAUGUGUGUGUGUGUGUGUGAUUACCAGAGAACUACUACAAAACCAACUGCUUUUUAAAUUCUGUUGUGUAGUUCAGGUGUCUUGCCUUGACCAAUCUAAUGAAUUGAUUAACUGGCCUUUAUACUUAAUAAAAAACUAGCAGAUGUCAGUUAAAUGAAAAAGUUUCAGUUUAUUGCUCAAUGUACUUGUUAACAUUGUAUUUAAUCAUCAUCGGCCUAAUUUUGUGUUUUUAACUUAAAGAUAAUCUCCUAAGGGUUACACUUUAGAUUCCCACAAAAAAAAAAAAAGGUUAAUUUACCAUUUUUAGAGUUGAAACUCACCUCAUUAAAUAAAAGUUCAGUUGAACCUCUUUACAACAUUGAUACUAAGUGAACAGAAAUCACCCAGCAUCAGAUAUCAGAAUUCUGUUGUAUUUGAAAAAUAAGAUUGAAAAAUUUUUUAAUUUAAAUUUACUGAUAGUCUCAGUAUUCUAAAAAUAAGAGUUUUUAGAAAACUAAAAUUGACUAAGACUUGAAGGACAAUUUAGCAGAAAUAGGACCAUAAUGUAGAAAAAGAGCCAUGGAGCAGCAGCCGCAGCUUCAGCUUCCACAGGCUUAACAUGGAGAGCCCAAAGUAGGCCUGGAUUUACUCAUGAAAAUAAAAGGAUUUAAGGAAAAGUUAUGAGGAAAACCCAACAUUGGUUUUACCUAACACUUCAGAGUUACAAGACCUAACCCUGUGUGUCAUAGGACUGACCUGUUUUUCUAUCACUGGGUGUCCUGAAGCACAUGUCAGGUAAUGGCCUAACUGUUACAGCCUCAGGGAGGAGCACUGCAGUCUCUGAACUGACUGCAUGAUGUCAGUCUGUGAUUCACUGCAGAAAACUGGCCAAGUGGUUAUCAUUUCCAUUCCGAAUAGAACCUUUACGUUCUUCAGGGUUAGUUAGUUCAUGAUUUAAGUUUCAAGCUCCUUCGAGAUUGUUAUUUAGGUAUAAUAUUUAUGUUUGACUAAGGAUUAAAAACGUGUUAAUCUGAUUGCAUACCACUCCAAACUCCCCAUUUUCUGCAGGUUGAACACCCUGUCGAAUGUGUCUGGGGGUCUUUCUUUGGCUAAUGGACAUUCCACUAGUGACAGUUACCUUUAUGGCAUGAAGCUACUAAAAAACUGAAUCUUGAAAGUUCCCAUGGGUUUAACAGAUCAAACUAUGGGGAACCAAAGCUUCAGCUCCAACUUUCUCCAUGUUUGCCUUGGGUUGAAUAACUUAUUUUUUAGAGAAUAGCUUUAAGUGGCUUAGACACUGAUAAGAGCUAUUUUGUUUUAUGCUUAGUUCUAUUUAAAUCUAGAAUUUAAUGGAGUCUGAUUAAAAAAAAAAUGUGGGUCAUGUGAAUAUGAAAAAAUGUGAGGAAAAUAAACUAUUUGCAGUGUAACUUUAUUAUAUUCUAACAUUUCAAAAUUAUUGCUUAUAAAUUGGUAUGGUUGUGUAGUUUAUAACUGUCUAUGCACUAUAUUAAUUAAAAGACCAUAGGAUAUGUUGGCAGGUUG